GUACUUACUCCUACGGGAGGCAGCAGUGGGGAAUUUUGGACAAUGGGCGCAAGCCUGAUCCAGCCAUUCCGCGUGAGUGAAGAAGGCCUUCGGGUUGUAAAGCUCUUUCGCAAGGGAAGAAAACUUACCUUUUAAUAAAGGGUGAGGUUGACGGUACCUUGAUAAGAAGCACCGGCUAACUACGUGCCAGCAGCCGCGGUAAUACGUAGGGUGCGAGCGUUAAUCGGAAUUACUGGGCGUAAAGCGUGCGCAGGCGGUUUUGUAAGUCAGAUGUGAAAUCCCCGGGCUCAACCUGGGAACUGCGUUUGAAACUGCAAGGCUAGAGUGUAGCAGAGGGGGGUAGAAUUCCACGUGUAGCAGUGAAAUGCGUAGAGAUGUGGAGGAAUACCAAUGGCGAAGGCAGCCCCCUGGGUUAACACUGACGCUCAUGCACGAAAGCGUGGGGAGCAAACAGGAUUAGAAACCCGGGUAGUCCAGGCAU
RNAcentral lists this ribosomal RNA (481 nucleotides) under uncultured bacterium. Its description in RNAcentral is "bacterial SSU rRNA". It matches the Rfam family "Bacterial small subunit ribosomal RNA", at positions 329 to 802 of the family's 1533-position model. The record is from RNAcentral.